RNAcentral lists this unclassified non-coding RNA (386 nucleotides) under Hevea brasiliensis (rubber tree). The record is from RNAcentral. Lineage: Eukaryota; Viridiplantae; Streptophyta; Magnoliopsida; Malpighiales; Euphorbiaceae.
AGAAGAGCAUGGCAUGUUGCCUGCAACAUUCAGAAAUAAGCACAAAUAAUUAGCAUUUACAUCCUGAUUGUUUAUACGGAGAAGAAGAAUGAACUUCUAUGAUAGUUCUUUAUUUUAACUCUCAAUUACAUCACAUAAAAUCUUAGAAUUCUUGUUUUUAGGGACAGGACAUGAGCACCUCCAAAGCAAACAUUCAAUCACACAGUAAAGAGCACUAGCAUCACAAGCAAAUGUGACAAACGUAACUACUAAAAAAUCAAAGGAGGCAAAGGUGACUGAAGGAUCAAAGCAGAACUAAACAAGCAAAGCCAUAAGGAAGGCCUAAUAACUUCAUAGGUAGGGGAGAGCAGAUUUCAGUUUAAACCAAAAAACCAAACCGAACCGAG